UCCCUGGUGGCUCAGACAGUAAAGAAUCUGCCUGAAAUGCAGGAGACCCAGGUUUGAUCCCUGGGUUGGGAA
Molecule: transfer RNA, 72 nt
Filed under: Bos taurus (domestic cattle)
Lineage: Eukaryota; Metazoa; Chordata; Mammalia; Artiodactyla; Bovidae
Also listed under: 5 other names
Rfam family: tRNA
About the family: Transfer RNA (tRNA) molecules are approximately 80 nucleotides in length.
Source: Rfam by way of RNAcentral